Long non-coding RNA from Neofelis nebulosa (Clouded leopard), 569 nucleotides. RefSeq lists it as uncharacterized. The record is from RefSeq and is a predicted model, not a curated record. NCBI's taxonomy places the organism in Eukaryota, Metazoa, Chordata, Mammalia, Carnivora, Felidae. The transcript is spliced from 3 exons.
CUGCCUCGGCUCCUCGGUGGCCAUGGACCUCCAACAUGUCAUUAAUACUUAACAGACACGAAUGCAGAGUUUACGUAUGCUAGGCACUUUAUGAAUGCUGGCUCAUUUAUUCCUCAUUACAAAGAUAUUCUCAUCUGUGUUUUACAGAUGAGCCUAUGAUAGCUCAGAGAAGUUAACUCACCCAAUGUCACAGAGCCAGGAGGUGACAGAACUGAGCAGCUGGGAUUUGAAUUGCACACUGAAGACUUGUGCACUCUACUGUAGGGACACUGUGCCUCUGCUUUAGAGACACGCACGAUGGUUGUACGUGUAUUGGUUGUCAACCCUGGUGACUGUAUGGCUGAGCUGCCCAACAUCACGGGAGAGCAUCUUACAGCCUAUCGCCAGCCCAGGAAAAGAUCAAACCUCCAACUACAGUUUCUAACGAAUGCGUACCGCUUUCUCGCCAUGAUUUUGAGCUUCUGGAAGCAGGGACAGCCAUGUAUGCAUUUAAAAAAGAAAUUUCUGAAUCUCCAGGGCUUAUCCCAGGACCUGGCACACAGCAUGUGCUUAAUAACUCCUUGUUACAU